UACGGAGGGUGCAAGCGUUAUCCGGAUUCACUGGGUUUAAAGGGUGCGUAGGUGGGUCUGUAAGUCAGUGGUGAAAUCUCCAAGCUUAACUUGGAAACUGCCAUUGAUACUAUAGGUCUUGAAUAUCCUGGAGGUGAGCGGAAUAUGUCAUGUAGCGGUGAAAUGCUUAGAUAUGACAUAGAACACCAAUUGCGAAGGCAGCUCACUACGGGAUUAUUGACACUGAGGCACGAAAGCGUGGGGGUCAAACAGG
Molecule: ribosomal RNA, 253 nt
Filed under: uncultured bacterium
Lineage: Bacteria
Description: partial 16S ribosomal RNA
Rfam family: Bacterial small subunit ribosomal RNA
Source: RNAcentral